RNAcentral lists this ribosomal RNA (428 nucleotides) under uncultured bacterium. RNAcentral's name for it is "bacterial SSU rRNA". It matches the Rfam family "Bacterial small subunit ribosomal RNA", at positions 32 to 492 of the family's 1533-position model. The record is from RNAcentral.
AACGCUGGCGGCGUGCCUAACACAUGCAAGUCGAACGAGAAAGUGGAGCAAUCCAUGAGUAAAGUGGCGACCGGGUGAGUAACACGUGACUAACCUACCUCCGAGUGGGGAAUAACUCCGGGAAACCGGGGCUAAUACCGCAUAACAUCGCAAGAUCAAAGCAGCAAUGCGCUUGGAGAGGGGGUCGCGGCUGAUUAGCUAGUUGGCGGGGUAACGGCCCACCAAGGCGAAGAUCGGUAUCCGGCCUGAGAGGGCGCACGGACACACUGGAACUGAAACACGGUCCAGACUCCUACGGGAGGCAGCAGUGGGGAAUUUUGCGCAAUGGGGGAAACCCUGACGCAGCAACGCCGCGUGGAGGAUGAAGCCCCUUGGGGCGUAAACUCCUUUCGACCAAGACGAUAAUGACGGUACUGGUGGAAGAAGCG